Long non-coding RNA from Corapipo altera (White-ruffed manakin), 1798 nucleotides. RefSeq lists it as uncharacterized. The transcript has 4 exons. NCBI's taxonomy places the organism in Eukaryota, Metazoa, Chordata, Aves, Passeriformes, Pipridae. The record is from RefSeq and is a predicted model, not a curated record.
CUGGCUGUAUUCUGACCAUGACAAACAAUGACAGAGCCAGGGCCUGGAUUUUAAUCAGCAAAAUCUCCCACGCAAUUGUCUCCCAAGCAUGGAGAGAGAACCAGCGCAGUGCUGUGGAAAGGAAGAAAAACAGUAUUAAUGAAGCAUUCUCUAGAAUCCACCUACAGUUGUCACUUACAAUAAAAUGAAUGAGAAAUUAGGGGAGAAAUUAAUUUAAUAUUGGAAUUGUUCCUUUGGUCCUCAGUGAUUGUAGGUAGCCCUAUGUGACUGCUGACAUUUUCAGGAGUGCUAAUGAAUUUGAUUGGGAACUAGACAUACACCUAGAAAACUGAAUACUUUGCUGUGUGCUUCUUUGUGUGUUUAGGUACUAUAUAGUUUCACCCUGUUUUUGGCAGAUAGAAGAAAGAAAAUGUGUACUGCUUAUUUAAACAUCAGGAGUAAAACUCAUAAACUCUAGACAGAAGGAUCUUCACUAGUGAAGCAGAACUAAAGACAGUACAACUUUGAAGGUUUUUUCCCCUUUCUAUUAAAGCCUCUGUUCAACAUUUGAAGAAAAAUACUUUUUUUUUCCCUUUCUUUUUCCACAUCUCGGCAUGUGACAUUAAAUGUGGGGGAAAAAAAUCUCUUGGCAAAUCUGUAAAUAAGCUAAACCUGGUGGGAUCUCUGAAGUAGGAAUGGAACAGAAGAAGGUUAUCAGGCAGGAAGAUCAGAAGAUGCUUAGAGAAGAAAACUAGAAGGAUCAGCAGUUACACCUCCUGUCAGGUGAGCAAAAGAAAAGGAAGUUCUAUGCAACAGUUCUUAUACUAAAGCCAAAGAAGGAUGAGCACUUCUUAGCUAUGAUCCUGGUAGGAGAGACAAGCUGAGAAUGAAAGUGAAUGUGAACUAACGGUUUGUUUUCUUAGGGAUAAGAACAUACAGAGGACUUUCACUCUUGUCAACAAUCCUAGGACAUAAUGUCCCUAGGGCUGUUUUUGCCAAAGCACGACUGUUGAAAAGGAAGUUCCUUCCAAGAGUAGAUGGUUUUCAACUAAAUAAAUACAUUGUACAUAAAGAUUUGCCAAGUAAUUUCUAAAGUCUCUGUACUAUGAAAUUGCUUUCUCACCAGCGACAAGUAUUCUACCACUUUGUUUGCUACUCACUACAUACAUAAUUUAUCUUAAUGAUUGUUUUUGUUAUUAGAAUUCAAACAAAUCUUAUUUAAUGAGGAAGGCCCUUUCUCAGAAUUAUUUGUAAUACAAUUGGAAAGCGAGCCAUUAGGGUGCUUUUCCAUAAUUUAUUGCUCUUGGCAUGCAAAUCCACCUCCUAAGAAUAACAUGUUUAGGAGAAAAAGUAUCUAUCUCAUCUUGAACACUAAAUAGAGAGCUGUAUCACACACAUACCCACCUGUUGGAAACAACUGUAGCAGUCCCACUAUCUGAUUGCCGAUGCAACCAUGGCACAUUUUGAGAAUCUAACUGAUGUUUACCCUAGGAAUUAUUUCUUCUGAAGAAAUCUUCAGAAAAGCUACUUUAGUUGGCUUUAGGUAGCAGUUGGUUUAGUUAGCAGUUUUGGCAAAUCCACAUAAUUUAAAGUUCUAUUUUUUUCUAAAUGGAAUUAGCAAGUUCCGAGAUAAUUUUUAAAUAGAAUAUUGCCCACAACAUUAAAAGAUGGGAAAAACAUUCUGUAUGAAAAGUGUUAAAAGUGUUGUACACAUGGAUACUAAAAGAUAGAUUAGUGAGUUGCCACAGAAUCACUAAGCUUUGAAAGAUAGCUUCGUAAGAAUAACUGCUGAAAAAGUAAAUUAAAGGUUUCCAGAAAA